Molecule: non-coding RNA, 4806 nt
Organism: Anas platyrhynchos (mallard)
Lineage: Eukaryota; Metazoa; Chordata; Aves; Anseriformes; Anatidae
Source: RefSeq, a predicted model, not a curated record
GGAGGCUUUUUCUUUAGUGGAAGUGGAGGUUCGCAUAGAAAUAGGUUGAUCUUCCUGAGUCGCCAGUGGCACAGGUCCCAGAGCCCUGGGUUACUUAGGGUCAGUCCUCCUGGUGGCUGCAGUCAUGACGGAGUGGUAAAUCCAUUAUUGAUUCUCAGAUAUUUCAUCUGCUUUCUUUUGUAGUAAUAAGAUUAAAAAAAAAAAUACAUCACAGGAGAACAUGUGUUUCACAAAUGCCGUCAUCGUUUUCCAAAACAGAAAGGCUGGUCGAAAAGCAGAGCUGGAAAAGCACGACCCCCCAUUUUGUGCGUGGUAGGCUCCUCUUGACAUUAUGCACUGACGUGAAAGGAUAUGGCUUUCCUGCUGACUUCAGCGAGAGAAAACAAAGAGUUCAGCCUGAGACCGAGAAAUUGCUUCAUAAGAAAACCAUCUGUGCUGAGAGAGAUGGACUAAGCUGGAUCCCUGCCAUACUGUCUGGAGGAAUAAGGUUGUUCUGGACAAGAGGAACAAUGGGAGCAGAAUGGCUGAUAUAUGCGUGCACACAGUUUUCCCCUAUUCAUCUCUGAUGAUGCCAGUGAGGUGGAGUCUGUGUUUUACCAUCAAAGGUCAGCCCUCCAGGAUGUCUGGAAGCUGCAGUGUGGCCCCUGCAUGCCAAUCUACUGGAGAAUACAUUUAGGGCUGGGUCUGGAGAAGGGUGAUGUGAAAUUACAUCGUGCACAGUGGUUGAAAUCCCAGUUUCAGUAGGGGAAGGAUUUUGAUAAUAAUGAAGUGCUACUAAUCUGAGAACAAGCCAACAGCCAAAGAACCCAGACACAAGAAUAUAUCUCACAGUUCAUUUCUCUCAUGAGGCAGGUGUUCCUGCAUGUAAAAGUUUUUUAAUGCAAGCUGCUGGCUGGCAUACAUGUGGAACAAGAAUCCCCAGAGCAUAUUAGAGGACAAACCUGCUUCCCUAGUGAAUCUGGGAACAGCCUCUUCUAGUACAGAGCCACUAUUUAUUCCGCCCUUGUGCUUCCCUUGAGUAUAAGUUAUGAUAUAUCAGCAUUGUCUUUGAGGUCUACUGAAUCUGUGGAUAUGCAGUACUCCGAAGAGUGGAGACGGAAUGAAGUUGAAAGGAUUCAUGAAUAAAAACUUACAGUUGUUUUACAGGAGGCUGCCUCUCUUGCCCUUCAGAAUGGAUAUUGUUUGGAAGUAUUUAGAGACAAAUACUAUUUUCCAGGACCACUGACACUGGGACACAGGCAUCAAGGAAAAAAUAAAACAAAGCAAUCCCAGAUGCAAUGGAAUGAACAGCUAAAAGGCAGGAAGUCAAAAACUGGAAAUGCCACUAGAGCAAAGGGAUCCUGAAAUCCCUGUGGAUUAUAUUCCUGGACCAAGGAAGGCAACAGGACACUAAGAAAGUUAACCUCAGGCAGACAAAAUGACAGCAGCAUGCAGAUGCCUGGAGUGGAAUUCAGAGAGAACUACUUGACAAAAAUACAUCUGGUCUUCAAGGUUUCAGCUGGUCCAGACAGAAAGGGAAAAAAUCGUGCUGAAAACAUUGAAAGAGAGAAGUAACGGAGAGAAAUGAAAGGAGAUAAGUAGGCUUGGGAAAAAGAGACAGAACAAGCACAGCUGAAGAGUCAGAAUAGACUACAUAUUUAUUUUCUUUAAAAAGGUAUGUUUCCUGUCCUUCCUGAUUGGAGAAGCAAUGCACCUGUGAGUUGCAGCCAAGCUCAUGAAGUGUUUUCUUACAGGCAUCUAAAGCUCUUCUUGAAAGCACUGGCCACUGCCCAAGACAGGAUGCUAUACUAGAUGGAGUGGCAGCCUAAUACAUUUAAACAAGAUUUAGCAGGUGUGCUGUUAGAGCUCUCAUCCAAUUCACGUUCCUACUCUGACUAAUUCCUACUUCAGCCUGUCUCCUGGGUUCCCCACUGAAAAGGCCAAAGCUCCCAGUGAAGCAGCAGUAGCUGCCUUUAAGCAAGAGACGAGCACUCCUGGCUUCCCUGUACUGCAUGCAAAUAGAGACAGACGCCGCUCCCCAGCUCUGCCAAGCUCUCCUUCAACGUGCCUUCUGCACGGCAGUGCCCGGUACAAGUGAUCAUCCAGCAGUGUCUUCUGAGUGUGUUAAUGUCUCUGACCCUGGCCCACUGAUCACCCGCUUCGGCAGGGGACUUGUCAUCUGUACAAACAGCAUCCACCGAGCCCACAGCCCCCCGGCUGUACGUGACGGGGAGCACUGUUUUGUGCUCUGGCUGCUCAGCACAGCCUGGUGAAGGGCAGCUGCCCCUUCCAUGCUUACUGGACCUUAACUGGAACAUGUGGAUGGAGAUGAAGAAUGGCAACACACCUGGUUUUCUAUUUUCUUCUCCCCCAGCAUACCCACAGACAAUUACCACAGCCUUGAAAAUACACCUGUGAAAUGGUUCUGUGGGCCUUUUCCAGCACUGACAGCUUUCAAACACUUCUUGCUAAUUCUGUUCUCACAUGGACAAAGCCACCAAAUCAAUCCUGAUCUCCACUAUAUCAAGCAAGUGCAGCUUCUACCUGAUUCUCAUGGCUGUCACUGAUUUACUCAAGAAAAGAGGAGGGGACCAAGAAGACCUACAUUUUCAGCUUUUUCUCAGUUCUGAUUAUUCCUUUUAUUCUUCCUGAAAAGCUGCCAUGAAACAAUAGUGAAAAGCUAUGAAGUCCCAAGGACUUGUAAAAAUAUAAGCUCCAUGUUCUAGCCUGGGAGAAUGUAUCACUAGUGAUCUUGUAUUCUUCCACAUGGUUAUGUGAGAAGGUCUUUUGGUUUCCCACCUAUGAGCAAGGAGAGAGGACAAUGGAGCUGUCACCCUUCUCCCUCUGCCAGAAGAUGUGUCCCUCUCUCCAGGCAUGGGAACUGUGGCACCAUCGUCAUUGGUAGCUGCUGGUGGUGGCGGUUCCCUAUCCUGAGGCACGUCUCUGCUCUUCACUGACUUUUCAUAGUGGCAGAGUGAUUUCACAACUGACUUCAGGUGUGCAGUUUGAAUGCCACUUUUCCAACUGCUCCGUGGUUCAAAUAAGUUCAUCCAUCCCUGACACUUGCACAGAAGCACUCUGAAAAUACAUUAUUUAAGGCCUGCCUUCCUUGGUGUUUUAGAAAUAAAGGUGUAAACUUCCUUUAAAGGUCUGAGAACAAAAAAAAAAGAAAAAAAGACUUCUCGGGCAGGAAGAAGUGAAAGGCCAGCCUUCAAGCCACACACACCCUCAGAGGGCCCUUCCAUGAGAAGUGAGAAUUACUCGAGCUAAUGUUGCCGUAUCCCUCUCUGCACCUGAGGAUGGUGAAACCACCGAGGCGUGCUAUGCUGAUACCUCCAUGCUACAGUCGCCAGAGGGGUGGCGUAACGUUACCACAGCAACCACACGUCUGGCCUAGCUCUUUCUGCCGGGCUGGGGAGGCAGGCAGGAGCUCGCUUGAAAGUUUUAUCAGGUUUCUUAAAGAUUUAUGAUGCUUCCUUGCCUUCUGCUAUUGCCCGCUUGACCAGUUAGCAUGGUUGAGAGCAAACAAGGAGACUGAAAAACGCAUGGCAUGGUAAACAUAUUUUGAAGGGUAUUGUGAAGGGCUGGGAUCUGGAGCUUCAGCAAGAAGUGUGAGGGGAGCUGGCUGUAUCUUUUUUUUCUGAUUUUCAUCAAAUGUGCUUUUUCCUUCUCCCAGAAGUGCUUCACAGAGGGGUGCCCACUUGAAGACUUCCAAGUACCAAGACUCCGUGUCUCUCAAGGGUGUCAAAAUCUGAAGUUUUUCCAGUCAAAAUCUGGAGAUUUCUUUAUUCUAGAAAGUCAAGACUUUCACAAAAUAUUAGCUUUUUGAAGCCUUUCAAAAGAUGGGCUUUUCACUCCAUUACAGAACGAAAACAAGUUUGAAAGCUUAUGAACUGGAAUUGCUGUUCUCCAGAUAGCAGUACAUGAUGAGUAUUUCCCUUAAAUAAAUAAAUAAAUAAAUACAUGCAUACUCCGGAAGACUGUAGUAGCAAUCCCGAGUAGAGCAGUAAAACCAAUGUACGGUGGAUGUGCUGGAGCAGGAUGGUGACAAACGGUAGCAGUUUAAGAAACACAUCUGUGCGCGUGGCAGUGCGAAGUGCAGAUCUGGGCAGCACGUGGUGCGCAAGCAGCAUCGCUCUUUGGAACCACGUCUCUGUAAAGCAAUAGAAAAGAGAUGAGACUGUUGAAGCAUGGGAUGUAAGAACAUCUGCCCUUCAAAACAACAGUAAUGCAUCAGGUAAAUGGAGGUGAGCUUGAGCCACAUGCUGCAUCUAACAUAAUUAAAGGUGAUGGAAAAGUGCAGCUGUUGGAAUGGGGAGAUGUGGUUUACUAUAUCCCUCACAAAGAAUGCCUUUGUACAAAGAAUGGAGCAGGAAAUCAAGAUGCACUAGAUUUGUACCAGCAACAUGAUCUUUCAGUACAUAUUCUGCAGCUUUCAUCAGGUACUUGGUAGAACCUGCUGCAAAAUGACUGCUUUAUCUGGACACAUAUAAAACAUGAAGCUACACUUCCAUGGAUUACGGCAGGUUACAUCUUGUUAUGAGGAACAAACCAUGUACAAGGGCUUAGCACUCCAACUUCUGGAUAUCUUUUCAUAGAUGAAAUCUGUGGAUAACUGUCAGGAAAGUGUGAGAAGUAACAGACAAAACCUAGAUCAGUUUAGUUCAUAGGGCAAAAAAUGAGAGAGAAAAGGCCUGAUGUAAUGAGCAGAGUGGAUCGGCUUCACUGUGGAAAACUGUUAGAUCACUUUAAGAGUCCAGAGCUAUUGUUUAUGUGAAAUGUCCACUGUGGAUGACUGGAAUAAAAGAAAUAAAUAUACAUAUUUAA